Molecule: ribosomal RNA, 253 nt
Filed under: uncultured Eubacteriales bacterium
Lineage: Bacteria; Bacillati; Bacillota; Clostridia; Eubacteriales
Description: uncultured Clostridiales bacterium partial 16S ribosomal RNA
Rfam family: Bacterial small subunit ribosomal RNA
Source: RNAcentral
UACGUAGGGGGCAAGCGUUAUCCGGAUUUACUGGGUGUAAAGGGAGCGUAGACGGCGAUGCAAGUCUGAAGUGAAAGGCGGGGGCCCAACCCCCGGACUGCUUUGGAAACUGUAUAGCUGGAGUGCAGGAGAGGCAGGCGGAAUUCCUAGUGUAGCGGUGAAAUGCGUAGAUAUUAGGAGGAACACCAGUGGCGAAGGCGGCCUGCUGGACGACAACUGACGGUGAGGCGCGAAAGCGUGGGUAUCGAACAGG